CCUACGGGGGGCACCAGUGGGGAAUAUUGCACAAUGGGCGCAAGCCUGAUGCAGCCAUGCCGCGUGUGUGAAGAAGGCCUUCGGGUUGUAAAGCACUUUCAGUGGGGAGGAAGGCGGUGAGAUUAAUACUCUCACCGAUAGACGUUACCCGCAGAAGAAGCACCGGCUAACUCCGUGCCAGCAGCCGCGGUAAUACGGAGGGUGCAAGCGUUAAUCGGAAUGACUGGGCGUAAAGCGCACGCAGGCGGUUUGUUAAGUCAGAUGUGAAAUCCCCGAGCUUAACUUGGGAACUGCAUUUGAAACUGGCAAGCUAGAGUCUUGUAGAGGGGGGUAGAAUUCCAGGUGUAGCGGUGAAAUGCGUAGAGAUCUGGAGGAAUACCGGUGGCGAAGGCGGCCCCCUGGACAAAGACUGACGCUCAGGUGCGAAAGCGAGGGGAGCAAACAGGAUUAGAUACCCCCGUAGUC
This 465-nucleotide ribosomal RNA is filed under the name uncultured bacterium. Its description in RNAcentral is "bacterial SSU rRNA". It matches the Rfam family "Bacterial small subunit ribosomal RNA", at positions 338 to 795 of the family's 1533-position model. The record is from RNAcentral.